UACGAAGGGGGCUAGCGUUGCUCGGAAUCACUGGGCGUAAAGCGCACGUAGGCGGGUUGCUAAGUCAGGGGUGAAAUCCUGGAGCUCAACUCCAGAACUGCCUUUGAUACUGGCGGCCUUGAGUCCGGGAGAGGUGAGUGGAACUGCGAGUGUAGAGGUGAAAUUCGUAGAUAUUCGCAAGAACACCAGUGGCGAAGGCGGCUCACUGGCCCGGUACUGACGCUGAGGUGCGAAAGCGUGGGGAGCGAACAGG
This 253-nucleotide ribosomal RNA is filed under the name uncultured bacterium. Its description in RNAcentral is "partial 16S ribosomal RNA". It matches the Rfam family "Bacterial small subunit ribosomal RNA", at positions 524 to 776 of the family's 1533-position model. The record is from RNAcentral.